This 850-nucleotide ribosomal RNA is filed under the name uncultured bacterium. RNAcentral describes it as "bacterial SSU rRNA". It matches the Rfam family "Bacterial small subunit ribosomal RNA", at positions 1 to 827 of the family's 1533-position model. The record is from RNAcentral.
UUCGAUUAGAGUUGAUCCUGGCUCAGAACGAACGCUGGCGGCGUGCCUAACACAUGCAAGUCGAACGAGAAAGUUUCCUUCGGGGAAUGAGUAAAGUGGCGCACGGGUGAGUAACACGUGGAUAAUCUACCUCUAAGUGAGGGAUAACUUCGCGAAAGCGGGGCUAAUACCUCAUAAUAUUAUUUUCUCCUUGGGGAAGAUAGUCAAAGGUGGCCUCUGUUUCAAGCUAUCGCUAAGAGAUGAGUCCGCGUCCCAUUAGUUUGUUGGUAAGGUAAUGGCUUACCAAGACUACGAUGGGUAGCUGGUCUGAGAGGAUGACCAGCCACACUGGAACUGAGACACGGUCCAGACUCCUACGGGAGGCAGCAGUGAGGAAUCUUGCGCAAUGGGGGAAACCCUGACGCAGCAACGCCGUGUGAGUGAUGAAGGCUUUCGGGUCGUAAAGCUCUGUUAGGUGGGAAGAAAAGUUCUCGACCAAUAAUCGAGCAUCUUGACGGUACCACCAGAGGAAGCACCGGCCAACUCCGUGCCAGCAGCCGCGGUAAUACGGAGGGUGCAAGCGUUGUUCGGAAUUACUGGGCGUAAAGAGCGUGUAGGCGGCUAGUUAAGUCAGAUGUGAAAGCCCUGGGCUCAACCCAGGAAGUGCAUUUGAAACUAAUUAGCUAGAGUACGAGAGAGGAAGGUGGAAUUCCUGGUGUAGAGGUGAAAUUCAUAGAUAUCGGGAAGAAUACCGGUGGCGAAAGCGGGCCUUCUGGCUCGAUACUGACGCUGAGACGCGAAAGCGUGGGGAGCAAACAGGAUUAGAUACCCUGGUAGUCCACGCCGUAAACGUUGGGCACUAGGUGUGGGA